Molecule: ribosomal RNA, 417 nt
Filed under: Unguitermes trispinosus
Lineage: Eukaryota; Metazoa; Arthropoda; Insecta; Blattodea; Termitidae
Description: partial 12S ribosomal RNA
Source: RNAcentral
CCCUAUUAUUUGGAAUGUUAAGUGUUUAAUUUGCCUGAGUAGUAUUAGUUAUGUUCUUGAAACUUAAAGAAUUUGGCGGUAUCUCAUUCCUUCCAGAGGAAUCUGUCUCGUUAUCGAUAGUCCACGUUGGACCUUACUUGGAUUGCUUGUGGUUUGUAUACCGCCGUUUAUUGAUUAUCUUUUUAGAGCUUGAGUAAUUUUCUGGUUUCUUUACUUUGGUUUAUUUCAGGUCAAGGUGCAGCUUGUUUCUAAGUGAACGAUGGAUUACAUUGUUAUUUGUUUUUGGAUUAUUAAUUUCAAUAUUAAUAUGAAAUUGGAUUUGGUUGUAAUGGUUUGUAGAUUGUUUUCAUGAUAUUGGUUCUGGGGUAUGCACACAUCGCCCGUCGCUCUCGUUCAAAGUUGUUAAUGAGAUAAGUC